GGGGUGUGACUGCGUACCUUUUGUAUAAUGGGUCAGCGACUUAUAUUCUGUAGCAAGGUUAACCGAAUAGGGGAGCCGGAGGGAAACCGAGUCUUAAUUGGGCGUUAAGUUGCAGGGUAUAGACCCGAAACCCGGUGAUCUAGCCAUGGGCAGGUUGAAGGUUGGGUAACACUAACUGGAGGACCGAACCGACUAAUGUUGAAAAAUUAGCGGAUGACCUGUGGCU
RNAcentral lists this ribosomal RNA (226 nucleotides) under Salmonella enterica subsp. enterica serovar Amager. RNAcentral's name for it is "partial 23S ribosomal RNA". It matches the Rfam family "Bacterial large subunit ribosomal RNA", at positions 588 to 816 of the family's 2925-position model. Lineage: Bacteria; Pseudomonadati; Pseudomonadota; Gammaproteobacteria; Enterobacterales; Enterobacteriaceae. The record is from RNAcentral.